GAGAAGUGGUUCUGUGGUUAAGAGCACUGGACUCCUUCCAGAGGUCCUGAGUUCAAUUCCCAGCAACCA
Molecule: transfer RNA, 69 nt
Filed under: Mus musculus (house mouse)
Lineage: Eukaryota; Metazoa; Chordata; Mammalia; Rodentia; Muridae
Description: tRNA-Gly
Source: RNAcentral